CAACAAGAAGCUACAAGAAAAAUCUAGAGAAAAGAAAGGGGAGAAACUUGAAGCUAGAGAGAGAGGGAGCUCGGAUUUGGGAGAAACAAAGCCCAAAACGUUACCAAACAGCCCCGAAGUUUCAGCUGCGCUAAGGAGGUUUCCGAGGCGCAAUUUUGGCUAGUUUUGGCCAAUUUCGGGUAAGGUUCAAAGUACGACAAAGCGAACGGGAUAAAGAGUAACC
Molecule: long non-coding RNA, 223 nt
Organism: Solanum dulcamara
Lineage: Eukaryota; Viridiplantae; Streptophyta; Magnoliopsida; Solanales; Solanaceae
Exons: 3
Source: RefSeq, a predicted model, not a curated record